GUGCCAGCAGCCGCGGUAAUACGUAGGGGGCAAGCGUUAUCCGGAUUUACUGGGUGUAAAGGGAGCGCAGACGGCCAAGCAAGUCUGAAGUGAAAUGCAUGGGCUCAACCCAUGAAUUGCAUUUGGAAACUGUUAGGCUUGAGUGUCGGAGAGGUAAGCGGAAUUCCUAGUGUAGCGGUGAAAUGCGUAGAUAUUAGGAGGAACACCGGAGGCGAAGGCGGCUUACUGGACGACAACUGACGUUGAGGCUCGAAGGCGUGGGGAGCAAACAGGA
This 274-nucleotide ribosomal RNA is filed under the name uncultured Blautia sp. Its description in RNAcentral is "partial 16S ribosomal RNA". It matches the Rfam family "Bacterial small subunit ribosomal RNA", at positions 505 to 777 of the family's 1533-position model. Lineage: Bacteria; Bacillati; Bacillota; Clostridia; Lachnospirales; Lachnospiraceae. The record is from RNAcentral.